RNAcentral lists this transfer RNA (112 nucleotides) under Methanosphaerula palustris E1-9c. It matches the Rfam family "tRNA". Rfam says of the family: Transfer RNA (tRNA) molecules are approximately 80 nucleotides in length. Their secondary structure includes four short double-helical elements and three loops (D, anti-codon, and T loops). Further hydrogen bonds mediate the characteristic L-shaped molecular structure. tRNAs have two regions of fundamental functional importance: the anti-codon, which is responsible for specific mRNA codon recognition, and the 3' end, to which the tRNAs corresponding amino acid is attached (by aminoacyl-tRNA synthetases). tRNAs cope with the degeneracy of the genetic code in two manners: having more than one tRNA (with a specific anti-codon) for a particular amino acid; and 'wobble' base-pairing, i.e. permitting non-standard base-pairing at the 3rd anti-codon position. Lineage: Archaea; Methanobacteriati; Methanobacteriota; Methanomicrobia; Methanomicrobiales; Methanoregulaceae. The record is from Rfam by way of RNAcentral.
GCUGCGGUAGCCUAGCUUGGUCAGGGCGCCAGACUCAUAGGGUUUAACGAGCAUAUGAGGCGCCAGAAUCUGAGACAUCUGGAGGUCGUGGGUUCGGAUCCCACUCGCAGCA